AUAAGCACCGGCUAACUCCGUGCCAGCAGCCGCGGUAAUACGGAGGGUGCAAGCGUUACUCGGAAUCACUGGGCGUAAAGGACGCGUAGGCGGAUUAUCAAGUCUCUUGUGAAAUCUAACGGCUUAACCGUUAAACUGCUUGGGAAACUGAUAAUCUAGAGUAAGGGAGAGGCAGAUGGAAUUCUUGGUGUAGGGGUAAAAUCCGUAGAGAUCAAGAAGAAUACCCAUUGCGAAGGCGAUCUGCUGGAACUUAACUGACGCUAAUGCGUGAAAGCGUGGGGAGCAAACAGGAUUAGAUACCCUGGUAGUCCACGCCCUAAACGAUGUAUACUAGUUGUUGCUGUGCUAGUCGAGGCAGUAAUCCACCUAACGGAUUAAGUAUACCGCCUGGGGAGUACGGUCGCAAGAUUAAAACUCAAAGGAAUAGACGGGGACCCGCACAAGCGGUGGAGCAUGUGGUUUAAUUCGAAGAUACGCGAAGAACCUUACCCGGACUUGAUAUCUAACAAAUCAUCCAGAGAUGGAAGAGUGUCUGCUUGCAGAAAUGUUAAGACAGGUGCUGCACGGCUGUCGUCAGCUCGUGUCGUGAGAUGUUGGGUUAAGUCCCGCAACGAGCGCAACCCACGUCAUUAGUUGCUAACGGUUCGGCCGAGCACUCUAAUGAGACUGCCUUCGUAAGGAGGAGGAAGGUGUGGACGACGUCAAGUCAUCAUGGCCCUUAUGUCCGGGGCGA
Molecule: ribosomal RNA, 733 nt
Filed under: uncultured Campylobacter sp.
Lineage: Bacteria; Pseudomonadati; Campylobacterota; Epsilonproteobacteria; Campylobacterales; Campylobacteraceae
Description: bacterial SSU rRNA
Rfam family: Bacterial small subunit ribosomal RNA
Source: RNAcentral